AUUCCUCUCGACGAAUAUCACGAUGAUCUCGAGCCGUGGAAUUCCUGGCAAAGAGAACCGUUUGCGGCGUUUAAUUAGACCAUUUGAAGGUUCGGCUGCGAAGGUUACCGUUUGUUCCGGCAGGAAACACAAAUACUUUGCGGAUCGAUUCUGGAAGCAAUUUUCAUCGGUCUCUUACUUGUUCUCGAAACGCGAGCAAUCUGAAAUUUUCGAGUGAGCAACGUUUAACCUCCCUCAAUUACUCUACAAUUAUCCAACUGCGUGCAAGUAAAUUGGUCGUACGUAGACGGAACUUUGGAACAAUCAAUUUGAAAUUAU
This 318-nucleotide unclassified non-coding RNA is filed under the name Bombus terrestris (buff-tailed bumblebee). Its description in RNAcentral is "misc RNA ENSBTSG00005024761.1". Lineage: Eukaryota; Metazoa; Arthropoda; Insecta; Hymenoptera; Apidae. The record is from RNAcentral.